GGGGUUGUGGCUCAGCGGUAGAGCACUUGCCUAGCAUGUGCAAGGCCCUGGGUUCAAUCCUCAGCACCA
This 69-nucleotide transfer RNA is filed under the name Ictidomys tridecemlineatus (thirteen-lined ground squirrel). RNAcentral's name for it is "Spermophilus tridecemlineatus (thirteen-lined ground squirrel) tRNA". It matches the Rfam family "tRNA". Rfam says of the family: Transfer RNA (tRNA) molecules are approximately 80 nucleotides in length. Their secondary structure includes four short double-helical elements and three loops (D, anti-codon, and T loops). Further hydrogen bonds mediate the characteristic L-shaped molecular structure. tRNAs have two regions of fundamental functional importance: the anti-codon, which is responsible for specific mRNA codon recognition, and the 3' end, to which the tRNAs corresponding amino acid is attached (by aminoacyl-tRNA synthetases). tRNAs cope with the degeneracy of the genetic code in two manners: having more than one tRNA (with a specific anti-codon) for a particular amino acid; and 'wobble' base-pairing, i.e. permitting non-standard base-pairing at the 3rd anti-codon position. Lineage: Eukaryota; Metazoa; Chordata; Mammalia; Rodentia; Sciuridae. The record is from Rfam by way of RNAcentral.